RNAcentral lists this ribosomal RNA (253 nucleotides) under uncultured bacterium. Its description in RNAcentral is "partial 16S ribosomal RNA". It matches the Rfam family "Bacterial small subunit ribosomal RNA", at positions 524 to 776 of the family's 1533-position model. The record is from RNAcentral.
UACGGGGGGGGCAAGCGUUGUUCGGAAUUACUGGGCGUAAAGGGUUCGUAGGUGGCCAACUAAGUCAGACGUGAAAUCCCUCAGCUUAACUGGGGAACUGCGUCUGAUACUGGAUGGCUUGAGUGCAGGAGAGGAAUGCGGAAUUCCAGGUGUAGCGGUGAAAUGCGUAGAUAUCUGGAGGAACACCGGUGGCGAAGGCGGCAUUCUGGACUGUAACUGACACUGAGGAACGAAAGCCAGGGGAGCAAACGGG